UUCUUCAUCAGGGCAAGCGAAUGAUUCCUGCAUGACAAACACAGAAUUUCCCUGUACUCAUCGUUUCUCAGACGUUCUGACCUCUCAGUCGUCUGUGUUGACUCGUGUGGCACCGAAGCAGUAAAAAAAAAAAAAAAAAAAGCGGCAGGAAUGUCACCAUGUGCCGACUUCUUGGAUAUGUGCUGUUUUUAAAGAGUAACGACGCAGACACAGAGGUGAACAGGACAAAGCGUCCUGUUAACCUCUGUGUAUGCGCCUUCUUCGUCGUUAUUCUUUAAAAACAGCGCAUAUCCAAGAAGUCGUCAUCGCCUUACUCACCAUGUGCCGCAGAGUUCCGGUACGGCAAAAUAUAAGCUGCGCUAUUAUUGGAAUCUGACAAGCCAGACUGACACGUUAAAGGGAAUUUUUCCACGGGAAGGAAGGAGUCACUGACCUGGAGAGGCUGUCCCUGGAAAAUACGUUCCAGCUCAGCAAAAAUGGCCUCGCGGUCUUCUUCCUCAUCGAGGAGGAAGCAUCCACUGUCGACGCGCUCCCUUGGCUCCUCGCUUUUGCUCUCUUCUUGGCCUCCCAAGAUGUGCUCUCCUGCAAGCACGGGCCACACAGGAUUUUCCAUGACCAUUUCAAGCUAAUUCCAUGACCGGUACGUCUGCUUGGAAGAAACUGCGCACUGGAAACAAAUUCUUCAGUGGUAAAAUCAAAUUAUGAGGCACUCAUAUAAAAUGGAAACAAUGCUGCUUUAUUGCAGUCCCUUGGCUGAAAGCAUCCUUUACCAUGAAUAAAAUAUUAAAAGGCACAAUAAUUGUCCCUCAACAAACGGAAAAGCUUGUUUAUUUGCAUCGGCAAUGCCUUCACUGUUUCAAAGAUUCAAUCUCUUGCUGCAGCAUGGAGACCUGAAGCUGUGAGUCUUCCAUCAGUUUUUGCUUCUUUGAUUCAAGCUCUUUCACAAGAGCCGCAGUCCUCUUCUUUUUUCUUUCAGCAUCCAAUACGUCCAACCGUUCCUUCUUUUUCCUCGCCAAGUCUUCUUUCCAUCUGAUGUUGGCACUUUGAACCAUGUCUAUCAUCUUGUCUGUUACGUCAACUUCUGCAACACCACCUGCUGCAGACACCUCGUCGUACACUAACGUUUGUGCUACAAGUGACUCCUCCUCCAUAAUUUCUACAAGACAUUCCUUGUUCACCGAAAAUCCCCGCUCCACGGAAGAAUUUCCAUGUGAAAGGCACAGCACAUUCUUCACAAACAGCAGUAGCUCUUCAUGAGAACUCGCACAAAGUUCCAUCCACAGCUUCUCCAAGCGCUCUCUUGCGCGAUCAAAUUUUCGCAAACGCACUUGUGCAGUGUUGUUCGAGCACACUUGUACAUAUGAUCUACUUGCUCUCUCUCCUUGUAGGCCUGUAAGGCGCCCGUGCUCUAUAAGUACUUCAAGUGCAACAUUUAGCUGCUUCGGGCUAGCUUCCACAGAAGUGGUACAAAUUGCUGGGUUUAAGCAACUGGCCCCCCUUGUCAGCUUGUAUUUCAGAGGUGAUCCUUUGGUUAUCUUUGCAGAACAGGCCUUAAUAAAGAAGAUGCAUUCUUUUUUGACACUUGCCACCGCAGUGUGAGAUGGUUUAGU
This is a long non-coding RNA of Rhipicephalus sanguineus (brown dog tick), 1610 nucleotides long. RefSeq lists it as uncharacterized. The transcript is spliced from 3 exons. The record is from RefSeq and is a predicted model, not a curated record. NCBI's taxonomy places the organism in Eukaryota, Metazoa, Arthropoda, Arachnida, Ixodida, Ixodidae.